GCCAUGUCACAUAGCACAGCCUGGCACGGCUGCCCCAGACCAUGGAGUUGGUGGAGAGUGGAGCCACAGCCAAGGGGACCAGCAGCUGAGUGACAUCCUGGCCUAUGGUUGCAGUAUGGCAGGGGGGGUGGCAGACGGACUGGGUGUGAGAGGACAGAAAGGAGCAUGGCUCAGGUCAGCUGGUGGUGGCACUGAUGGUGGGGGCAGAAGGUCUGGGAGUGGGCAUGCAUGGCCUUGGUGGUGAGGCUGGUCAGAGCUCUUCCGGGGCCAGGGAAGGGAGGGUUUGCUGGGACAGCUCCCCAAGCAGCUCACACCUCUGCUUCUGCUCUUGCCCUUGGUUCCCACGUCUGAGCCCGGCACCCCCUCCACAUUGCUGUGCAGACUGGAACCCACGGGUGGCAGUUGGAGUCACCCUCCAUUCACUCCUUCCAGGAUUGUUACAAUGAUGAGGUCACUGUCUUUCUCAAGACACACAGCUGGCCCCUGGCGAGGUCAGGCUCAACUCCAUGCAUCCCGAGGCAAAGUCUGUGGUCUGCAAGGUGAAGGGUGACAACCACUGCUGCUGUGUCUGCUGUAUCUGGAUGCUACGGUGGUCACCCCACUGUGGAGCAGGAGCUCAGAGCUGCUUUUUGAUACUGUGGGACUCUGCGCUUUCUACAGUGUCAGCUGCAGUGGUCAGUGUGAUCGAUGAGUGACGAGGCUUUCCUGUGACCAGAUGAGCCCCAGGGAAUUAUUUCAGAGAUCUUGGCCAAACAUGCCAGCCACAGCCAUGACGUCAUGAGUCUGCCCGAGGGGAUCUCAGCUCGGUGCUGCGUGUCGUGGGCCUGCAACACCCACCCUGGAGCCCUGCCGUGGAGCUGUGUGGCAUCUGGUGAAGGCAUCCUUCCAGGCCAACCCUGCCUGCUGUGGCUCCUGGUCAAGGUCCCUCCAGCGGCAUGAGGUGUUUAAAUGCAUUUCUUCCCUGGCCUGCACCAGGCAGACUUUCCUUCUCCUGUUCAAAUAUUUAUACGUGUGUGUAUUAUUGCACAUGGCUUCUGCUGCUCGCGAUCACACCUGUAGUCAUAAAGCACAGAUUAUCAGCUCAAGGUGAUAAAGGGCCUUUGAGUCAACACUAGAAAUGAACAGAAAAUGAAAUAAAGUUAUAAAAAGAA
Molecule: long non-coding RNA, 1151 nt
Organism: Cavia porcellus (domestic guinea pig)
Lineage: Eukaryota; Metazoa; Chordata; Mammalia; Rodentia; Caviidae
Exons: 2
Source: RefSeq, a predicted model, not a curated record